CAGUGAGAUGAGGAGUGCCAUUUACCCCACUGCACGCCUACUGUACUGAGAGGAGAAAAGAGAGGGAAGGAGUUGCACAACCAAAGUUUGCAAGAAAAACAGAGUGAUCCAUCCUAAAGUCCCCACAGCCCCGAACGUCUGAGGAAAAACUCAGCCAUGGAGCAGAAGACAAAUGAGAGUCCCACCAACACCUCUCCUCAGAAACACAUGAAAAACAGGUCUAAGUCCACAGAGGAGGUGCAGCAGUCAAAGAAGGCCUUUUCCUCACAAAAAUCACUUCCAGGCAGACCAGAGCUGGAGAGAGUGAAGGAAUGUCCUGAUGGCUCUGAGACACCGUCAUCCUCCAGUGAAGAACUGAAAUGAUGAACAAAAGCAAAAAAAGAUGCCAUAAAGCUACAUCAUCAUAAACCUGAGACAUAAAAUGUGCAGAAGUACACAGGGGAACAGGCAGAAUAGUAUAUGAAAAAAAUGCAAGCCAUGAAUUAAUUAAAAGGACAGAAUUGGACUAAAACACACACACACACACACACACACACACACACACACACACACACACACACACACACACACACACACACACACACACACACACACACACACACACACACACA
Oreochromis aureus is the source of this 611-nucleotide long non-coding RNA. RefSeq lists it as uncharacterized. The transcript has 5 exons. The record is from RefSeq and is a predicted model, not a curated record. Lineage: Eukaryota; Metazoa; Chordata; Actinopteri; Cichliformes; Cichlidae.